This 254-nucleotide ribosomal RNA is filed under the name uncultured bacterium. Its description in RNAcentral is "partial 16S ribosomal RNA". It matches the Rfam family "Bacterial small subunit ribosomal RNA", at positions 524 to 776 of the family's 1533-position model. The record is from RNAcentral.
UACGGGGGGAGCAAGCGUUGUUCGGAUUUACUGGGCGUAAAGGGCGCGUAGGCGGUCAGCACAAGUCAGUUGUGGAAAUCUCCGGGCUUAACCCGGAAAGGUCAACUGAUACUGUGCGACUAGAGUGCGGAAGGGCAACUGGAAUUCUCGGUGUAGCGGUGAAAUGCGUAGAUAUCGGGAGGAACACCAGUGGCGAAGGCGACUACCUGGCCUGUUCUUGACGCUGAGGCGCGAAAGCUAGGGGAGCAAACGGG